This is a long non-coding RNA of Panicum virgatum (switchgrass), 1098 nucleotides long. RefSeq lists it as uncharacterized. The record is from RefSeq and is a predicted model, not a curated record. The transcript is spliced from 2 exons. NCBI's taxonomy places the organism in Eukaryota, Viridiplantae, Streptophyta, Magnoliopsida, Poales, Poaceae.
CGCCGUCACUGCCCUCUCCCGCUGAAGCCGCCGCCGCACCAGCCCUCUCCCACCGUCGCCUCCCCAGCUCUCCCCCGCGCCUCCGGAUCUGCGCCGGCCUUCCCUCCCCUGACGUCGCUGGUUCCGGAUCCGCGAUUUCCGGCCCUUCCCCUGACACCACCUGCCUCCGGAGCCGCGCCGUCGCCCCUGCACUUGCCCUGACGCCGCCUGCCUCUCUGUGCGCCGGACUCCUCUGUUGCAGCUGCAGGCCUUUUGGUAUAACAGUUUUUGAAGAACUGUCCGUUAUAUUGUGAAACUAGGAUCCUGAUCGUUAUGGACCAGCAACCUCAAAAUGAUGCUGAUUUUCUUGAGCCAUCAGUACUCUUAGAUGAGACACAUUACCAGGAGGGGUACAAAAAUGGUUAUCAUGAUGGCCUGUCAUCAGGGAAGGAAGAUGGAAGGCAGGUUGGUUUAAAGAUGGGUUUCCAGGUCGGUGAAUAACUGGGUUUCUAUCAGGGCUGUGUGGAUGUGUGGACAUCCGCAACUCGCAUUGAUCAGAAUGUGUUCUCAGCUAGGGUCAUGAAGAACAUCGAGCAACUAGCCGCACUGGUAAGCAGCUAUCCACUCUCUGAUCCGGAGAGUGAACAAGUUCAAGACGUGAUGGAGAAGAUAAGGCUGAAAUUCAGGGUUAUCACUGCAAGCUUAGGGCUGAAGUUGGAAUAUGAAGGUCGCCCGGCAUCAUCGAAACAGGAUGUUGAGGAUCUGUGAGGGUGACGAAAAUUUUGGUCCUUACCUUAUCUUUGCCGUAUCUAGUUCUCCCAAUUCUGUGUUCAGAUCAUUGGUAUCAUGAAGAAUUUGCCGCGAGAUAACGGUCAAAGCAUGAAUCAGUAUACUGCUGUAACCUUGCCUUCAGUUUUGUCUUAACUGCUCUCUCAUCCAUGAUUAGACUUUACUCUUUAAGGGGUUCACCAGAGAUCCACAAGUAUGUUUAAUUGUGGAGUGAUUCUCUCUCUCUCUCUUUCACAACUCAAAAAGCAUUAUCCUAUAUCAUCGAGUGUAUACCAGCACCCCCCUUAUCCGUUUUCGUUUAUGCUAUUAAUUCUGCUUUAAGCUGCCAUA